UACAGAGGUGGCAAGCGUUGUUCGGAAUUACUGGGCGUAAAGGGCGCGUAGGCGGCCUUCUAAGUCAGACGUGAAAUCCCCCGGCUUAACCGGGGAACUGCGUCUGAUACUGGAUGGCUCGAGUUUGGGAGAGGGAUGCGGAAUUCCAGGUGUAGCGGUGAAAUGCGUAGAUAUCUGGAGGAACACCGGUGGCGAAGGCGGCAUCCUGGACCAACACUGACACUGAGGAGCGAAAGCCAGGGGAGCAAACGGG
This 253-nucleotide ribosomal RNA is filed under the name uncultured bacterium. Its description in RNAcentral is "partial 16S ribosomal RNA". It matches the Rfam family "Bacterial small subunit ribosomal RNA", at positions 524 to 776 of the family's 1533-position model. The record is from RNAcentral.